RNAcentral lists this ribosomal RNA (546 nucleotides) under Leptobacillium leptobactrum. RNAcentral's name for it is "eukaryotic LSU rRNA". The stretch from base 156 to 309 matches the Rfam family "5.8S ribosomal RNA". Lineage: Eukaryota; Fungi; Ascomycota; Sordariomycetes; Hypocreales; Cordycipitaceae. The record is from RNAcentral.
ACGGGACUACUUAUCGAUGUUAUUCAACUCCCAAACCCUAUGUGAACUUACCACUUGUUGCUUCGGCGCGCGCUUCGGCGCCGCCGAGGACACCCCAACUCUUUGUUUUUAUAAGCAUUUCUGAGUGGCCGAAAGGCAAAAUACAAAUGAAUCAAAACUUUCAACAACGGAUCUCUUGGUUCUGGCAUCGAUGAAGAACGCAGCGAAAUGCGAUAAGUAAUGUGAAUUGCAGAAUUCAGUGAAUCAUCGAAUCUUUGAACGCACAUUGCGCCCGCCAGCAUUCUGGCGGGCAUGCCUGUUCGAGCGUCAUUUCAACCCUCGAGCCCGACUCUUCGGAGGACGGCUCGGCGUUGGGGGACGGCAGACUCCCCCCGGCAUCUCGCCGGGGACGCCGCCCCCGAAAUUUAGUGGCGGCCCUCCGAGGCGACCUCUGCGUAGUAACUUGUUCUCGCACCGGAAAGCUCAGAGCGGCCACGCCGUAAAACCCCAACUUUUUUUAGGUUGACCUCGAAUCAGGUAGGACUACCCGCUGAACUUAAGCAUAUC